GAGAUAGCUGGUUUUCUGCGAAAUCUAUUUAAGUAGAGCGUUUAAAGAACUUUUUAGGGGUAGAGCUCUCGAUAAGCAAUGGGGGUUUAACGGUCCUUACUGAGUUUAUUGAAACUUACGAAUACUAAAUUUAAAAGAACUUUAGGUAGAGUAUACUAAGGGGCGCGAGAUAACUCUCUCUAAGGAACUCGGCAAAAUAGACUCCGUAACUUCGGGAGAAGGAGUGCCUUAUUUAUAAGGUUGCAAUAACAAGAUCCAAGCAACUGUUUACCAAAAACACAGGUCUCCGCUAAGUCGUAAGACGAUGUAUGGGGGCUGACGCCUGCCCAGUGCCAGAAGGUUAAAGAAGUUGGUUAGCAUUCGCGAAGCUGAUAACUGAAGCCCUGGUGAACGGCGGCCGUAACCAUAACGGUCCUAAGGUAGCGAAAUUCCUUGUCGGGUAAGUUCCGACCCGCACGAAAGGCGUAAUGAUUUGGAUACUGUCUCGGAGAGGGGCUCGGUGAAAUAGACUUGUCUGUGAAGAUGCGGACUACCUGCACCUGGACAGAAAGACCCUAUGAAGCUUUACUGUAACUUGAAAUUGAAAUUGGACUUUAUUUGCGCAGUAUAGGUGGGAGGCGUUGAGUUAAUUCUUGCGGGAAUUUAGGAGCCAUCAGUGAGAUACCACUCUGGUAAUGUUAGAUUUCUAACUUUGUAUCAUAAUCUGGUCAAAGAACAGUUUCAGGCGGGCAGUUUGACUGGGGCGGUCGCCUCCCAAAUGGUAACGGAGGCGUACAAAGGUUUCCUCUGAACGUGUAGAAAUCGUAUCUAGAGUGUAAAGGCAUAAGGAAGCUUGACUGUGAGACUUACAAGUCGAGCAGGGACGAAAGUCGGUCUUAGUGAUCUGACGGUGCUGAGUGGAAAGGCCGUCACUCAACGGAUAAAAGUUACUCUAGGGAUAACAGGCUGAUCUCCCCCAAGAGUUCACAUCGACGGGGAGGUUUGGCACCUCGAUGUCGGCUCAUCGCAUCCUGGGGCGGUAGUACGUCCCAAGGGUUGGGCUGUUCGCCCAUGAAAGCGGUACGCGAGCUGGGUUCAGAACGUCGUGAGACAGUUCGGUCCAUAUCCGGUGUAGGCGUUAGAAUAUUGAGAGGAGCCUUCUUUAGUACGAGAGGACCGAGAAGGACAUACCUCUGGUGUACCAGUUAUCAUGCCAAUGGUAAACGCUGGGUAGCUAUGUAUGGAGAGGAUAACCGCUGAAAGCAUCUAAGUGGGAAGCCCACCUCAAGAUAAGUAUUCUCACCUCUUACGUCCUUUCCUUCGAGUCGGAACUUACCACCGAUUUAGAGUUAAUCUUUAAGAUUUAACAGUUGACUU
RNAcentral lists this ribosomal RNA (1356 nucleotides) under Cylindrotheca closterium. RNAcentral describes it as "bacterial LSU rRNA". It matches the Rfam family "Bacterial large subunit ribosomal RNA", at positions 1519 to 2925 of the family's 2925-position model. Lineage: Eukaryota; Bacillariophyta; Bacillariophyceae; Bacillariales; Bacillariaceae. The record is from RNAcentral.